GAUGAACGCUGGCGGCGUGCCUAAUACAUGCAAGUCGAGCGAACGGGCGAGAAGCUUGCUUCUCUGAUGUUAGCGGCGGACGGGUGAGUAACACGUGGAUAACCUACCUAUAAGACUGGGAUAACUUCGGGAAACCGGAGCUAAUACCGGAUAAUAUUUUGAACCGCAUGGUUCAAAAGUGAAAGACGGUCUUGCUGUCACUUAUAGAUGGAUCCGCGCUGCAUUAGCUAGUUGGUAAGGUAACGGCUUACCAAGGCAACGAUGCAUAGACGACCUGAGAGGGUGAUCGGCCACACUGGAACUGAGACACGGUCCAGACUCCUACGGGAGGCAGCAGUAGGGAAUCUUCCGCAAUGGGCGAAAGCCUGACGGAGCAACGCCGCGUGAGUGAUGAAGGUCUUCGGAUCGUAAAACUCUGUUAUUAGGGAAGAACAUAUGUGUAAGUAACUGUGCACAUCUUGACGGUACCUAAUCAGAAAGCCACGGCUAACUACGUG
This 497-nucleotide ribosomal RNA is filed under the name uncultured bacterium. RNAcentral's name for it is "partial 16S ribosomal RNA". It matches the Rfam family "Bacterial small subunit ribosomal RNA", at positions 28 to 507 of the family's 1533-position model. The record is from RNAcentral.